UGUGAGUGAAAUGCUUUUUCUCUCAAGGACAAGCUGUGAUGGGGAGCGAAAUUUAGUAGCGAAGUUCCUGAUGUCACACUGCCAAGAAAAGCUUCUAGUGAGAAAGUAACUGCCCGUACCGCAAACCGACACAGGUAGUUGAGGAGAGAAUCCUAAGGUGUGCGAGAGAACUCUCGUUAAGGAACUCGGCAAAAUGACCCCGUAACUUCGGGAGAAGGGGUGCUGACCGCAAGGUCAGCCGCAGUGAAUAGGCCCAAGCGACUGUUCAUCAAAAACACAGGUCUCUGCAAAAUCGAAAGAUGACGUAUAGGGGCUGACGCCUGCCCGGUGCUGGAAGGUUAAGAGGAGAGGUUAGCGCAAGCGAAGCUUUGAAUUGAAGCCCCAGUAAACGGCGGCCGUAACGAUAACGGUCCUAAGGUAGCGAAAUUCCUUGUCGGGUAAGUUCCGACCCGCACGAAAGGCGUAACGAUUUGGGCACUGUCUCAACGAGAGACUCGGUGAAAUUAUAGUACCAGUGAAGAUGCUGGUUACCCGCGACAGGACGGAAAGACCCCAUGGAGCUUUACUGCAGUUUGAUAUUGCGUGUUUGUAUCACAUGUACAGGAUAGGUAGGAGCCGAAGAUACCGGGACGCCAGUCUCGGAGGAGGCAACGGUGGGAUACUACCCUUGUGAUAUGACCACUCUAACCCGCUGCUCUUAGCGAGCAGGGAGACAGUGUCAGACGGGCAGUUUGACUGGGGCGGUCGCCUCCAAAAAUGUAACGGAGGCGCCCAAAGGUUCCCUCAGAAUGGUUGGAAAUCAUUCGUAGAGUGUAAAGGCAGAAGGGAGCUUGACUGCGAGACCUACAAGUCGAGCAGGGACGAAAGUCGGGCUUAGUGAUCCGGUGGUUCCGCAUGGAAGGGCCAUCGCUCAACGGAUAAAAGCUACCCUGGGGAUAACAGGCUUGUCUCCCCCAAGAGUUCACAUCGACGGGGAGGUUUGGCACCUCGAUGUCGGCUCAUCGCAUCCUGGGGCUGUAGUCGGUCCCAAGGGUUGGGCUGUUCGCCCAUUAAAGCGGUACGCGAGCUGGGUUCAGAACGUCGUGAGACAGUUCGGUCCCUAUCCGUCGCGGGCGUUGGAAAUUUGAGAGGAGCUGUCCUUAGUACGAGAGGACCGGGAUGGACACACCGCUGGUGUACCAGUUGUUCUGCCAUAGCAUCGCUGGGUAGCUAUGUGUGGACGGGAUAAACGCUGAAAGCAUCUAAGCGUGAAGCCCCCCUCAAGAUGAGAUUUCCCAUCACUUUAAGUGAGUAAGACCCCUGAGAGAUGAUCAGGUAGAUAGGUUGGGAGUGGAAGUACAGCGAUGUAUGGAGCGGACCAAUACUAAUCGGUCGAGGACUUAACC
Molecule: ribosomal RNA, 1385 nt
Filed under: metagenome
Description: bacterial LSU rRNA
Rfam family: Bacterial large subunit ribosomal RNA
Source: RNAcentral